This 427-nucleotide ribosomal RNA is filed under the name uncultured bacterium. Its description in RNAcentral is "partial 16S ribosomal RNA". It matches the Rfam family "Bacterial small subunit ribosomal RNA", at positions 355 to 774 of the family's 1533-position model. The record is from RNAcentral.
UGGGGAAUAUUGCACAAUGGGCGCAAGCCUGAUGCAGCCAUGCCGCGUGUAUGAAGAAGGCCUUCGGGUUGUAAAGUACUUUCAGCGGGGAGGAAGGCGAUAAGGUUAAUAACCUUGUCGUUUGACGUUACCCGCAGAAGAAGCACCGGCUAACUCCGUGCCAGCAGCCGCGGUAAUACGGAGGGUGCAAGCGUUAAUCGGAAUUACUGGGCGUAAAGCGCACGCAGGCGGUCUGUCAAGUCGGAUGUGAAAUCCCCGGGCUCAACCUGGGAACUGCAUUCGAAACUGGCAGGCUAGAGUCUUGUAGAGGGGGGUAGAAUUCCAGGUGUAGCGGUGAAAUGCGUAGAGAUCUGGAGGAAUACCGGUGGCGAAGGCGGCCCCCUGGACAAAGACUGACGCUCAGGUGCGAAAGCGUGGGGAGCAAACA